GCUUGAUGUGAGAAUUACUUGACACACAAAUUAAACCCACUUUUUGACAAUUGUAGUAUAGAUGUAAGUAGGGUAUCGUUCUAGGCCGUGGAUUAAGAGGGAUUGCUAAUCUAUUCUAAAUUAAUUUAAAAAUAUUAAACAAGACUCAAGGACACAAAACUAGGCUAAAAACUCUAAUAACUCGAAACACACUUAGAAUGACUCAAAAUAAUGAAAACAAUCAAAUUAGACACUAGGCACUGAAAUGGACGGAAAUUGAAUUAAAAGACUAACAACAAUGAAAACUAACUAAAUAAUAUAAUUUAAUAAUGGGGGGGGGUUUGGUUUUGACGAGAAGUAAAUUAAACUUAAAUAAAUUACAGAGUUGACAAAAGCAUGAAAUUAAGGUGAAAGGAUAGGUGACGGACUAGCUAGAGGGUU
This 420-nucleotide long non-coding RNA is filed under the name Malus domestica (apple). RNAcentral describes it as "long non-coding RNA (MDOM_LNC020235)". The record is from RNAcentral. Lineage: Eukaryota; Viridiplantae; Streptophyta; Magnoliopsida; Rosales; Rosaceae.